UGAGCAAUCUGCCCUUCUCUUCGGAAUAAGCGUUGGAAACGACGUCUAAUGCCGAAUACGACCUCCUUUCGCAUGAUCGGAGGUGGAAAGCUCCGGCGGAGAAGGAUGAGCUCGCGGCCUAUCAACUAGUUGGUGUGGGUAACGGCCCACAAGGCGACGACGGGUAGCCGGCCUGAGAGGGUGACCGGCCACACUGGGACUGAGACACGGCCCAGACCUCCGUACGGGAGCAGNAGGUAGGGG
Molecule: ribosomal RNA, 243 nt
Filed under: uncultured bacterium
Lineage: Bacteria
Description: partial 16S ribosomal RNA
Rfam family: Bacterial small subunit ribosomal RNA
Source: RNAcentral